Molecule: long non-coding RNA, 2178 nt
Filed under: Homo sapiens (human)
Lineage: Eukaryota; Metazoa; Chordata; Mammalia; Primates; Hominidae
Description: PAK6 antisense RNA 1 (PAK6-AS1)
Source: RNAcentral
ACACUCCGACCCGGCGCGGCCACCCGGCCCCAGCUCGCAGGCCCCACUGCUGCGCCCUCUCGGGGACGCGAAUGCCCCGCGCCGGGCGGGCGCCCGCGGAGGGAGGUCCCGCUCCAGGGACGCGGAGCUCCAGAUGCCUGCGCCCAAGGCCCCUCGCCUGGCGCCGGCUGGUCCCGAACUUCGGGGCAUGGGCACCCAGGAAGGGGGCUGCGCGUGUUGGGAGGCCCGUCCUCUCGCCGCGAACCUCCGGGGCAGCCGGGGAACCCACCUGCGGAGCGGGAAGCCCAGGAACGCUCGAAGAGGGUGUGGCCUCAGGUAGGACGCGGCGGCGAACCCAGAGCGCGGGAGAAGUUGCCAAGUGUCGCUGGGGCCUUGGCCAGGAGCCCCUCUGCCCGAGGGGCGCCGUGCUGCUCAACUCUUUCUCUCCACCUGCUUGGCCCCAGUUCCCGCCCGCCCUUCGCCUCCGGGCCCUGGCCUGGCCACAGCCGCGGGGACCUGCCUGCGGCUCCACGGCCCAGUGGCCGCCUCGCGGAGACCCGACCUGGAGAAUCAGCUGAGCGCCGGCUGUGUGUAAUCACCUCGUUCACUGGCAUCGCAGAUGCACGCUCCAGAGCCGCGGGCCGACUCUCCCGGACCUGAGCGGGCCGCGUGUGCCCACCCACACAUCCUGGAGAGCCCACGCGGGAGUCGGAAAACCUGUCACCUUGGAUGAUCUGUCCCAUGUGGACAGGGCCCCAAGACUGUGCUGGGGUAGCCCCUUGCGCAGGCAGGAAAGCGGGAUUUAAGGGAUUCCAGUUCCCUUGUCAGCCCUUGCGCAGUCCUGAGUCCUGAGGACUUUCUAGCCUGAGAGUCCUAGGGCAGGAGACCCGCACCCCCAGAGCGGCUAGGGCCUGUUUCGGAGCCCCUCCGCCUGUGAUUUUGUCCCAGAGUCGGCAUCCUCUGCUUGUCCUCAGCAGUCCCUGCCUAAGAUCAGAAUGGCCAUUCCAAGGGGCUCACUCCUGGCUGCCCCUGUGCCAUGUUUCUUUUGGGGUACAGGGUGUUUUCUAUACUGGGGGAAGGGACAGGAAUCACUCAUCUCUUCCCCAGAUAAAGAAGUGAGAAGACCUUUGCUCUCCUUGUCUUGGGCCCCCAGAGAAAGGCUGUGUUCUGGCUGAGUGCUGAGGAAGUUCUGGCUUGGAAACUCAGUACAUGUGGACUCCAAAUGGCUGCCGUCAAGUGGUGGCUGGGUGACUGCCAGUGUCACAGAGCGGGGACCAAGGACAGUGCAGGGAUUUUAAAAAUCAUUGUUGGGCACCUCAGACUUCAAUGAUUAACUGAGGUCACUAUGGCCACUUAUUUUUGUUCACUGAUUCUUUAGACGCAUCAAUCUACUCACGGCUCAAUCUUUUGCAUUAUAGGCUGUAUUGGUUUCACACAAUUUACUCUAAGGCGCCCACCUAAUAGAGCUCAGGCAACCCGUGGGAACCUGACAGUCCCAAACAGGUCUGUACCCUGUGUGGCUGCACCACAAGCCCAAUGCCCUCGGCUUUCCUAGGGAAAGCAUGGUGCCAGGUGCAGAUGCUGGCCCUCUGUGCUGUGGGACAGUGGUGUGGGAGCCAGCCAGCUAACCAUACCCUGCUGCCAUCCCCAACAUCCCCAACACAUAUUUAUAUUUAGUUUCUGUUCUCCUCCCCUUACUCUGUCGCCUCCUCCUCCUCCUCUUUGUGUCUUUCCCACGCGGAUUCUUUCUCUUUCCUCUGAGUGGACAAUACUGUAGGCCUGACCCGCUUAGACAAACUCUGACCUCCUGUGGUCACCCAGGAAGCUGACUGCUAGGCCUUGGAUGAGGGGGCAGUGGGAGGGGGACCAGGUGAUACCAGAAUGGCUCCCCCCACAGAUUCGUUACCCAAGGACAUGGGUACACUGGUCGAAUGCUGGCUGCAGAAGCAGAAUGUGCUGCGUGGAGGUGGCAGAGAUUGGUUGCUGAGGAUUUGAAAUGAACCAUGAACCAAAGCUAGAAUGAAAGCAUUAUAUUGUCUAACCUAGAAUCGACACCCUAAAUUAUUUUUACUGAUUCAUGAAUGCAUAUGUGAAUUAUUUUCUUUGACUACAAAUGCCUUAUAUACCCAAAUCACAGCUCCAAGCAGUACUUUUGAACAGAACUACAAUAAAGUAUGAAUGUUAGAUUAUUACCAGAAA